This is a ribosomal RNA of 275 nucleotides. The stretch from base 91 to 275 matches the Rfam family "Eukaryotic small subunit ribosomal RNA", at positions 734 to 919 of the family's 1831-position model.
CUCGGGUCCAGGCUCGCGGUUCGCCUCGCGGCGAUCACUGCCCGUCCUGACCUACCUCCCGGUUUUCCCUUGGUGCUCUUCGCUGAGUGCUUCGGGUGGCCGGAACGUUUACUUUGAAAAAAUUAGAGUGCUCAAAGCAGGCGGACCGCCUGAAUAAUCGCGCAUGGAAUAAUGGAAUAGGACCUCGGUUCUAUUUUGUUGGUUUUCGGAACUCGAGGUAAUGAUUAAGAGGGACAGACGGGGGCAUCUGUAUGGUGGUGUUAGAGGUGAAAUUC